This 465-nucleotide ribosomal RNA is filed under the name uncultured bacterium. Its description in RNAcentral is "bacterial SSU rRNA". It matches the Rfam family "Bacterial small subunit ribosomal RNA", at positions 338 to 795 of the family's 1533-position model. The record is from RNAcentral.
CCUACGGGUUGCAGCAGUGGGGAAUAUUGCACAAUGGGCGCAAGCCUGAUGCAGCCAUGCCGCGUGUGUGAAGAAGGCCUUCGGGUUGUAAAGCACUUUCAGCGGGGAGGAAGGCGUUAAGGUUAAUAACCUUGGCGAUUGACGUUACCCGCAGAAGAAGCACCGGCUAACUCCGUGCCAGCAGCCGCGGUAAUACGGAGGGUGCAAGCGUUAAUCGGAAUUACUGGGCGUAAAGCGCACGCAGGCGGUUUGUUAAGUCAGAUGUGAAAUCCCCGGGCUCAACCUGGGAACUGCAUCUGAUACUGGCAAGCUUGAGUCUCGUAGAGGGGGGUAGAAUUCCAGGUGUAGCGGUGAAAUGCGUAGAGAUCUGGAGGAAUACCGGUGGCGAAGGCGGCCCCCUGGACGAAGACUGACGCUCAGGUGCGAAAGCGUGGGGAGCAAACAGGAUUAGAUACCCGUGUAGUC